RNAcentral lists this ribosomal RNA (245 nucleotides) under uncultured bacterium. RNAcentral's name for it is "partial 16S ribosomal RNA". It matches the Rfam family "Bacterial small subunit ribosomal RNA", at positions 524 to 768 of the family's 1533-position model. The record is from RNAcentral.
UACGGAGGUGGCAAGCGUUGUUCGGAUUUAUUGGGUGUAAAGGGCAGGUAGGUGUCCUAGUAAGUUCUGGUUGAAAUCCUUCAGCUCAACUGGAGAACGUGUCAGAAAACUGCUAGGAUUGAGUGCGGGAGAGGAGAAUGGAAUUCCCGGUGUAAGGGUGAAAUCUGUAGAGAUCGGGAAGAACACCAGUGGCGAAAGCGAUUCUCUGGACCGUUACUGACACUGAACUGCGAAAGCUAGGGGAG